RNAcentral lists this ribosomal RNA (834 nucleotides) under uncultured marine archaeon. RNAcentral describes it as "bacterial SSU rRNA". It matches the Rfam family "Archaeal small subunit ribosomal RNA", at positions 24 to 859 of the family's 1478-position model. The record is from RNAcentral.
CGACCGCUAUUGGAAUUCGAUUAAGCCAUGCGAGUCGAGAGUCCUCGGGACUCGGCAUACUGCUCAGUAACACGUGGAUAACCUGCCCUGUUCUAGGGGAUAACCUCGAGAAAUUGAGAAUAAUACCCUAUAGUCCACUACGCCUGGAACGGUGAGUGGAUAAAAGCUCCGGCGGAACAGGAUGGGUCUGCGGCAUAUCAGGUAGUAGUGGGUGUAAUGGACCCACUAGCCUUCGACGUGUACGGGUGUUGGGAGACAUAGCCCGGAGAUGGAUUCUGAGACACGAAUCCAGACCCUACGGGGUGCAGCAGGCGCGAAAACUUCACACUGCGGGAAACCGCGAUGAGGGAAUUCCAAGUGUCUGGGGUAAGACCCAGUCUUUUCUUGACUCUUAAUAGGUCUUGGAAUAAGGGGGGGGGUAAGACCGGUGCCAGCCGCCGCGGUAAUACCGGCCCCCCAAGUGGUCGUCACUUUUAUUGGGCCUAAAACGUCCGUAGCCGGUUUAGUAAACCCGUGGGUAAAUCAACCAGCUUAACUGGUUGAAUUCUGCGGAGACUGCUAGACUAGGGACCGGGAGAGGUACGAGGUACUCUUGGGGUAGGGGGUAAAAUCCUGUCAUCCCAGGGGGACCACUUGUUGCGAAGGCGUCGUACUAGAACGGAUCCGACGGUCAGGGACGAAGCCUAGGGGCACGAACCGGAUUAGAUACCCGGGUAGUCCUAGGUGCAAACGCUGUGGACUUGGUGUUGGGGGAUUCAUGGAGGGUUUCCAGUGCCGAAGCGAAGGUGUUAAGUCCACUGCCUGGGGGAGUACGGUCGCAAGGCUGAAACUUAA